CCUACGGGGGGCUGCAGUGGGGAAUCUUCCGCAAUGGACGAAAGUCUGACGGAGCAACGCCGCGUGAGUGAAGAAGGUUUUCGGAUCGUAAAGCUCUUUCGUCAGGGACGAACGUAUUUCUUGUAAAUAAUGAGAGAUAGUGACGGUACCUGAAUAAGAAGCCACGGCUAACUACGUGCCAGCAGCCGCGGUAAUACGUAGGUGGCAAGCGUUGUCCGGAAUUAUUGGGCGUAAAGCGCGCGCAGGCGGGAUAUCAAGUCUGUCUUAAAAGUGCGAGGCUCAACCUCGUGAGGGGACAGAAACUGGUAUUCUUGAGUGUCGGAGAGGAAAGUGGAAUUCCAAGUGUAGCGGUGAAAUGCGUAGAGAUUUGGAAGAACACCAGUGGCGAAGGCGACUUUCUGGACGAUGUCUGACGCUGAGGCGCGAAAGCUAGGGGAGCGAACGGGCUUAGAUACCCCAGUAGUC
Molecule: ribosomal RNA, 465 nt
Rfam family: Bacterial small subunit ribosomal RNA